Molecule: ribosomal RNA, 429 nt
Filed under: Acidobacteriota bacterium
Lineage: Bacteria; Pseudomonadati; Acidobacteriota
Description: Acidobacteria bacterium partial 16S ribosomal RNA
Rfam family: Bacterial small subunit ribosomal RNA
Source: RNAcentral
UGGGGAAUUUUGGACAAUGGGGGAAACCCUGAUCCAGCCAUCCCGCGUGUGCGAUGAAGGCCUUCGGGUUGUAAAGCACUUUUGGCAGGAAAGAAACGCCAUGGGUUAAUACCCCGUGCAACUGACGGUACCUGCAGAAUAAGCACCGGCUAACUACGUGCCAGCAGCCGCGGUAAUACGUAGUGUGCAAGCGUUAAUCGGAAUUACUGGGCGUAAAGCGUGCGCAGGCGGUUCGGAAAGAAAGAUGUGAAAUCCCAGAGCUCAACUUCGGAACUGCAUUUCUAACUACCGGGCUAGAGUGUGUCAGAGGGAGGUGGAAUUCCGCGUGUAGCAGUGAAAUGCGUAGAUAUGCGGAGGAACACCGAUGGCGAAGGCAGCCUCCUGGGAUAACACUGACGCUCAUGCACGAAAGCGUGGGGAGCAAACAGG